RNAcentral lists this ribosomal RNA (460 nucleotides) under uncultured bacterium. RNAcentral's name for it is "partial 16S ribosomal RNA". It matches the Rfam family "Bacterial small subunit ribosomal RNA", at positions 338 to 795 of the family's 1533-position model. The record is from RNAcentral.
CCUACGGGAGGCAGCAGUGAGGAAUAUUGGUCAAUGGACGAGAGUCUGAACCAGCCAAGUAGCGUGAAGGAUGACUGCCCUAUGGGUUGUAAACUUCUUUUAUAUGGGAAUAAAACGUUCCACGUGUGGGAUUUUGUAUGUACCAUAUGAAUAAGGAUGGGCUAACUCCGUGCCAGCAGCCGCGGUAAUACGGAGGAUCCGAGCGUUAUCCGGAUUUAUUGGGUUUAAAGGGAGCGUAGGUGGAUUGUUAAGUCAGUUGUGAAAGUUUGCGGCUCAACCGUAAAAUUGCAGUUGAAACUGGCAGUCUUGAGUACAGUAGAGGUGGGCGGAAUUCGUGGUGUAGCGGUGAAAUGCUUAGAUAUCACGAAGAACUCCGAUUGCGAAGGCAGUUCACUGGACUGCAACUGACACUGAGGCUCGAAAGUGUGGGUAUCAAACAGGAUUAGAUACCCGAGUAGUC